RNAcentral lists this ribosomal RNA (253 nucleotides) under uncultured bacterium. RNAcentral's name for it is "partial 16S ribosomal RNA". It matches the Rfam family "Bacterial small subunit ribosomal RNA", at positions 524 to 776 of the family's 1533-position model. The record is from RNAcentral.
UACAGAGGUGGCAAGCGUUGUUCGGAAUUACUGGGCGUAAAGGGCGCGUAGGCGGCCUUCUAAGUCAGACGUGAAAUCCCCCGGCUUAACCUGGGAACUGCGUCUGAUACUGGGAGGCUAGAGUGCGGGAGAGGGAUGCGGAAUUCCAGGUGUAGCGGUGAAAUGCGUAGAUAUCUGGAGGAACACCGGUGGCGAAGGCGACUUCCUGGACCAAUACUGACGCUCAUGUGCGAAAGCGUGGGGAGCAAACAGG